UGGUCAUGUUCGCGGAUAUUAAUUCAUGCUACUCGGAUUCUCUCUACCUUCAUUGACGUAAAGUGAGUCAGAGGAGCGUAAAGUGACUUCAGUGGACAACCAUUCACCUCGAAUUUCAUUCAGAUUAGUUUUCGCAUUUAGUUCGUAAUGGAACAAAGUCGAGGACCUCUUAGGAUCGUAAAGCAUCCUUAAGAUCCGUGAAAGGAUAUUAACUCCCACGGUUUAAAGUCGCCCAGUCAACGACUAAACCACCGCUCCCACAUCCUUCGUGUCGAGAUUGGAAAGAAGGAAUGAGGUUGCAAAGAUCACGGUCAGGACGACAAAGGACGACAAAGGACGUAUGCUAAAGAGAAAUUGUUGUAACGGAUCGUAUUAUACGAACCAAUCUACGUUUCCGCAAGUAGAAAAAGACGGAGAUGAAGAAGAUCGAGGUCGUGGUCAGAUGUUUAGCAAAAAAAUGUAACUGCGGAUAACUUUACCGAGCGGCAGACACCGUUCCCUGGAGAAAGGAAUAAAGAAACGAUUGAAGUGCGAGCUACCGUUAAAUAAAACUUUCAGCAAGGUCGGACUCAACUAAGAGAACGUUUUCAUCGUUGGUUCGUCAACCUGCUGUACCUGGAUACUACACACCACCAGUCUCUCAAUUCCAACACUUUCAAAUUCGUUUUCUCCGCUUGGUCGCGCUAGAAUGUUUUCUUGGUUCCUGCAAAAUAAUUAGGGGAAACCGUUGCUCCUUUUAUCAGAAUAAGUAUCCCAAGAGAAUAUCCAGAAAAUUCUCUUCCUUUUAAUAUCAUCUUUUAUACAAUUUUUUUUUUUUUUAUCUUUUCCAAUUUUCAUUCGAAAAAUAAUAA
Polistes canadensis is the source of this 851-nucleotide long non-coding RNA. RefSeq lists it as uncharacterized. The record is from RefSeq and is a predicted model, not a curated record. The transcript has 3 exons. Lineage: Eukaryota; Metazoa; Arthropoda; Insecta; Hymenoptera; Vespidae.